AGUGGCGGACGGGUGAGUAACGCGUGAGCAACCUGCCUCGGAGUGGGGGACAACAGGGGGAAACCUCUGCUAAUACCGCAUAAUGUCAUUGGGUGGCAUCACUUAAUGACCAAAGAUUUAUUGCUCUGAGAUGGGCUCGCGUCUGAUUAGGUAGUUGGUGAGGUAACGGCUCACCAAGCCUACGAUCAGUAGCCGGGUUGAGAGACUGAACGGCCACAUUGGGACUGAGAUACGGCCCAGACUCCUACGGGAGGCAGCAGUGGGGAAUAUUGGGCAAUGGGCGAAAGCCUGACCCAGCAACGCCGCGUGAAGGAAGAAGGCUUUCGGGUUGUAAACUUCUUUUACCAGGGACGAAGGACGUGACGGUACCUGGAGAAAAAGCUCCGGCUAACUACGUGCCAGCAGCCGCGGUAAUACGUAGGGAGCAAGCGUUGUCCGGAUUUACUGGGUGUAAAGGGAGCGUAGACGGUAAUGCAAGUCUGGAGUGAAAGGCGGGGGCCCAACCCCCGGACUGCUCUGGAAACUGUGUAACUGGAGUGCAGGAGAGGCAGGCGGAAUUCCUAGUGUAGCGGUGAAAUGCGUAGAUAUUAGGAGGAACACCGGUGGCGAAGGCGGCCAACUGGGCUUUAACUGACGCUGAGGCUCGAAAGUGUGGGGAGCAAACAGGAUUAGAUACCCUGGUAGUCCACACUGUAAACGAUGAUAACUAGGUGUGGGGGGUCUGACCCCUUCCGUGCCGCAGCUAACGCAAUAAGUUAUCCACCUG
This 766-nucleotide ribosomal RNA is filed under the name uncultured bacterium. Its description in RNAcentral is "bacterial SSU rRNA". It matches the Rfam family "Bacterial small subunit ribosomal RNA", at positions 94 to 875 of the family's 1533-position model. The record is from RNAcentral.